ACAUCACGUUGAAAUACCGGUUCCCGUACGAUCACCGAAGUUAAGCAACGUCAAGCCUGGUCAGUACCUUGAUGGGUGACACCUUGGAAAUUCCACGUGCUGUAAG
Non-coding RNA from Acanthosepion pharaonis, 106 nucleotides. The record is from the annotation of a GenBank genome assembly. NCBI's taxonomy places the organism in Eukaryota, Metazoa, Mollusca, Cephalopoda, Sepiida, Sepiidae.